GCACCCGCUGAAUUUAAGCAUAUCAAUAAGCGGAGGAAAAGAAACUAACUAGGAUUCCCUUAGUAACGGCGAGUGAAACGGGACAAGCCCAACUUGAAAAUCAGCAGGCUCCGUCUGCCGAAUUGUAGUCUAUAGAAGCAACCUCUGAGGCGGACCUGGAUUAAGUUCCCUGGAAGGGGACGUCAGAGAGGGUGAGAACCCCGUCAUCCCUGGUCUUAGCCUCUUCACGAGAUGCUUUCGCCGAGUCGGGUUGGUUGAGAAUCCAGCCCUAAUUGGGAGGUACAUCCCUUCUAAGGCUAAAUACCGGUAAGAGACCGAUAGCGAACAAGUACCGUGAGGGAAAGAUGAAAAGACCUUUGAAAAGAGAGUUAAAAAGUGCUUGAAAUUGUUGAGGGGGAAGUGCAUGAGAGGCGUGAGUGCUUCCAGGCUGUAUGUAGACCCUAACAGGUCUGCCCCUCAGUGCUGGAAGCUGGUCAACAUGGGUUAGCCUAGUGGGACAAAAGUAGAGGUUGUUACUCUGCCCAUGCCACUUCGCUGACCGAGGUACACUUGCUGUUGCUGAUGUUGGCAGAAGCUCCUCAUGCAGCCCGUCUUGAAACACGGACCAAGGAGUCUAACAUGUAUGCGAGUUGGUGGGUGGAAAACCCAUGAAGCGUAAGGAAACUAACUGGUGGGAUGGCCUGUGCCUGCACCAUCGACCGACCAUGAUCUUCUGUGAAAGGUUUGAGUACGAGCAUAUAUGUUGGGACCCGAAAGAUGGUGAACUAUGCCUGAGCAGGGCGAAGCCAGAGGAAACUCUGGUGGAGGCUCGUAGAUGUGCUGACGUGCAAAUCGCUUUUCGGACUUGGGUAUAGGGGCGAAAGACUAAUCGAACCAUCUAGUAGCUGGUUCCCUCCGAAGUUUCCCCCAGGAUAGCUGGAGCUCGAACAGUUUUAUCAGGUAAAGCGAAUGAUUAGACGAUUAGGGGAUGUAACAUCCUCGUCGUAUUCUCAAACUUUAAAUAGGUAAGAUGUCUGAAUUGCUUAAUUGAAUUCAGGCGAUCAAUGUGAGUUCCAAGUGGGCCAUUUUUGGUAAGCAGAACUGGCGAUGCGGGAUAAACCGAAAGCUUAGUUAAAGUGUCCAACUAUACGCUAACCUAGAUCCCACAAAGGCUGUUGAUUGAUAUGGACAGCAGGACGGUGGUCUGGAAGUCGAA
This 1195-nucleotide ribosomal RNA is filed under the name Chlamydomonadaceae sp. AW-2009. Its description in RNAcentral is "eukaryotic LSU rRNA". It matches the Rfam family "Eukaryotic large subunit ribosomal RNA", at positions 23 to 1265 of the family's 3401-position model. The record is from RNAcentral. Lineage: Eukaryota; Viridiplantae; Chlorophyta; Chlorophyceae; Chlamydomonadales; Chlamydomonadaceae.